Molecule: non-coding RNA, 21 nt
Filed under: Caenorhabditis elegans
Lineage: Eukaryota; Metazoa; Nematoda; Chromadorea; Rhabditida; Rhabditidae
Source: RNAcentral
UGAACAAAUUGUGAACUUUUU